This 220-nucleotide unclassified non-coding RNA is filed under the name Hevea brasiliensis (rubber tree). Lineage: Eukaryota; Viridiplantae; Streptophyta; Magnoliopsida; Malpighiales; Euphorbiaceae. The record is from RNAcentral.
GUGCUCCCUACAAAAGGAAAUUAUUAGUGUUGCAUUGGUGAAUAUGAGGAUGCUGAGAUUCUCUAUUAUAGUUGCAGGAUGCUGGGAUUGUCUUUUGCAGUUGUUAGCACUGUUGGUGACUUUAUGAUACAAUAAUUUCCAUGAUUUAGUGGCUUGCCUUUUUUUCUUUUAAUUUUUUGUAUACUUGUUGAGAUUUGCUUUAUCAGUUGUAACAUGUUCA